CAUGCUUGUUCAGGCUCUCAAAAUAUGAGCUCGAGUAUGAGACACACCUGUGAAAGUUCAGCAGAAAUGCAAGGCAAAUGUAUGGAAGGAGAUGGACAGCACAAGGGAAAGCAUUCUCGCCAAAGGCAUUGUGAUCAAGUAACUCACCUUUGUACCUCUAACCAUUCUACUGAGAUAAAAGAAGGAACCAACAAUGGUCAUUGCCAUUCCAACCACUGUGAAGAUUAUGUAGAAAACACUAUUGAAUCACACUUCAAUCAUGGGCCUCACAGUCUCAAUCGUGUUAUUACGAAUUGUUGCCACAGCCACAGCAGCCUUCCUUGCUCUACCAUUGAUAUUCAUUCUUAUAUGAGCUUGGAUAAGAGAGAAAUUGGG
RNAcentral lists this unclassified non-coding RNA (375 nucleotides) under Hevea brasiliensis (rubber tree). Lineage: Eukaryota; Viridiplantae; Streptophyta; Magnoliopsida; Malpighiales; Euphorbiaceae. The record is from RNAcentral.